GCCUACCAUGCAAGUCGAGCGGAUGAAGGGAGCUUGCUCCCUGAUUCAGCGGCGGACGGGUGAGUAAUGCCUAGGAAUCUGCCUGGUAGUGGGGGACAACGUUUCGAAAGGAACGCUAAUACCGCAUACGUCCUACGGGAGAAAGCAGGGGACCUUCGGGCCUUGCGCUAUCAGAUGAGCCUAGGUCGGAUUAGCUAGUUGGUGAGGUAAUGGCUCACCAAGGCGACGAUCCGUAACUGGUCUGAGAGGAUGAUCAGUCACACUGGAACUGAGACACGGUCCAGACUCCUACGGGAGGCAGCAGUGGGGAAUAUUGGACAAUGGGCGAAAGCCUGAUCCAGCCAUGCCGCGUGUGUGAAGAAGGUCUUCGGAUUGUAAAGCACUUUAAGUUGGGAGGAAGGGCAGUAAGCUAAUACCUUGCUGUUUUGACGUUACCGACAGAAUAAGCACCGGCUAACUUCGUGCCAGCAGCCGCGGUAAUACGAAGGGUGCAAGCGUUAAUCGGAAUUACUGGGCGUAAAGCGCGCGUAGGUGGUUUGUUAAGUUGGAUGUGAAAGCCCCGGGCUCAACCUGGGAACUGCAUCCAAAACUGGCAAGCUAGAGUAUGGCAGAGGGUGGUGGAAUUUCCUGUGUAGCGGUGAAAUGCGUAGAUAUAGGAAGGAACACCAGUGGCGAAGGCGACCACCUGGGCUAAUACUGACACUGAGGUGCGAAAGCGUGGGGAGCAAACAGGAUUAGAUACCCUGGUAGUCCACGCCGUAAACGAUGUCGACUAGCCGUUGGGAUCCUUGAGAUCUUAGUGGCGCAGCUAACGCAUUAAGUCGACCGCCUGGGGAGUACGGCCGCAAGGUUAAAUA
Molecule: ribosomal RNA, 857 nt
Filed under: Stutzerimonas stutzeri
Lineage: Bacteria; Pseudomonadati; Pseudomonadota; Gammaproteobacteria; Pseudomonadales; Pseudomonadaceae
Description: bacterial SSU rRNA
Rfam family: Bacterial small subunit ribosomal RNA
Source: RNAcentral